This 667-nucleotide ribosomal RNA is filed under the name Bacillus aerophilus. Its description in RNAcentral is "bacterial SSU rRNA". It matches the Rfam family "Bacterial small subunit ribosomal RNA", at positions 51 to 701 of the family's 1533-position model. Lineage: Bacteria; Bacillati; Bacillota; Bacilli; Caryophanales; Bacillaceae. The record is from RNAcentral.
CUAUAAUGCAGUCGAGCGGACAGAAGGGAGCUUGCUCCCGGAUGUUAGCGGCGGACGGGUGAGUAACACGUGGGUAACCUGCCUGUAAGACUGGGAUAACUCCGGGAAACCGGAGCUAAUACCGGAUAGUUCCUUGAACCGCAUGGUUCAAGGAUGAAAGACGGUUUCGGCUGUCACUUACAGAUGGACCCGCGGCGCAUUAGCUAGUUGGUGAGGUAACGGCUCACCAAGGCGACGAUGCGUAGCCGACCUGAGAGGGUGAUCGGCCACACUGGGACUGAGACACGGCCCAGACUCCUACGGGAGGCAGCAGUAGGGAAUCUUCCGCAAUGGACGAAAGUCUGACGGAGCAACGCCGCGUGAGUGAUGAAGGUUUUCGGAUCGUAAAGCUCUGUUGUUAGGGAAGAACAAGUGCAAGAGUAACUGCUUGCACCUUGACGGUACCUAACCAGAAAGCCACGGCUAACUACGUGCCAGCAGCCGCGGUAAUACGUAGGUGGCAAGCGUUGUCCGGAAUUAUUGGGCGUAAAGGGCUCGCAGGCGGUUUCUUAAGUCUGAUGUGAAAGCCCCCGGCUCAACCGGGGAGGGUCAUUGGAAACUGGGAAACUUGAGUGCAGAAGAGGAGAGUGGAAUUCCACGUGUAGCGGUGAAAUGCGUAGAGAUGUGG